UGCUGACGUCAGGGCCGCCAGAGAGGUAUUAGGCGUCAGGGCACUGGUUGUAGUACUCAGUUGUCGAAAAGUGAAGUAUGUCAGUUUGCGGAUGAUUGAUUGUGCAUCAUGAUCAGACAAUCCAUUUAUUAUAGGCCUUGGAGAAUAAUUUCCCUUCUAGUAAUAUCGAUGAAAAUAUUAUCAAUGGCUGUAGCAGAAUUUCCUUGAACUCUGGCGGAAAAAUUGAUUGUCUAUGGUAUGGUCAGGAAGAGUUGGGAUAUCCUGCGCUAUUGAUCCUGCUAGAAUGCUGCACUAUAAAUUUUGGUGCAGUAGUAGAAAGUGAUUUCACUACAGCUGAACAGAUUCGCAGUUCCGUGUAGAUCAGAUUCUGCAGCACAGUCACACCCACAACCUCCUGAUCCUUCAUUACACACCAUUUCAGGAGGGUGCUGGAGUGAAUACCUGGCAACAGCUGUGUUUAUUGAAGAGGUUGACAAACUCUUUGAGAGCUUAAAUAGUGGAAAGCACUGUGUUGCCCACUAAGUGAUAACAGUCUGCAAUAUAGAACACCGGUUAUCCACUUCAGCAUGAAACGCUGAGAAGCAGGAUCAAUAUCAGGAUUCAGUACUCUUCUAUUUCAAUGGGGGCCAACCACUGCAAAGUGUUUUGACAGUAAUUUUUCAAAUCCUGGCAGAAGACUUGAAUGUUCGCUUCAUGAUCUUCAGCUCAAUGGUCAUCCCAAAGGUCCUGCUGGAUCCCUUCCUCAGAUUUAGAAACUGCCCUGUGCACUGCUUCCCAAAGCAAGAGAUGAUGUACCUAGAUAUGAGAAUGAACUGUCAGAGUAGGGUAGUGAACCACAUUCCCAGAGAAAGCACGAGAAGGGGGAAAUCAUGAGUGCCCUGUAGAAAGAGUUACAUGUCCAGAGAGGAGGAGGCGGCAAAGAUACUGUUCCAAAGGAUGCUGUCAUGAUAAAGGAUAGCUGGUGUCUGGGCCAAGAAUGAAAACUUAAUCUUUGAAGUACAAAGCUAGCCCCUUAGCUGCUAGUUUGGAAUGAGGAUAAAAAUGCUGUGCUUCCAGAAAGGCAAAGAAUUAAACUCUACUACGUUAGAAAAAUCAUGGAAUUCUAGGCAUUUUUCACUCAAUUCAGAAAAAAUUUGGACCCAUCUGUCAUACAGCAACAUUUUCUUGAUUCCAUGCAUCCAACCGCCUCGCAACUGUAGGUUUUAUGAGGGACCACUGACCAAAUACGCGAACUUCAUCUGUUCCAGUUCUGGUAAUAAAUUCCUCAUUCAGACUCGUGAAUUUCUUUCCAUACAGGUAUCUUCCUCAGCAACGCCCACUUCUGUUUUUCGUAAGUUACAUUUCCACUUUUUUUACAUGAUCCAAGCUGGUUUCAAAGAAAUUAUGAACUACAAAAACUUAACUGAGUAAUUUCCCCUGAAUCUACCAACUUUCAGUUGCUUUUUGACAUCAAUUGUGAAAAGUUCACAUUUUCUGGAUUCUAAAUUGUUAACUAGGCUGUCUAUGUUCAUGGCUACUUCUGUAGCUGAAAUUUUAUA
Cryptotermes secundus is the source of this 1538-nucleotide long non-coding RNA. RefSeq lists it as uncharacterized. The transcript is spliced from 8 exons. NCBI's taxonomy places the organism in Eukaryota, Metazoa, Arthropoda, Insecta, Blattodea, Kalotermitidae. The record is from RefSeq and is a predicted model, not a curated record.